Molecule: microRNA, 20 nt
Filed under: Loxodonta africana (African savanna elephant)
Lineage: Eukaryota; Metazoa; Chordata; Mammalia; Proboscidea; Elephantidae
Also listed under: 1 other name
Description: Laf-Mir-32_3p* (star (passenger))
Source: RNAcentral
AAUUUAGUAUGUGUGAUAUU